Molecule: transfer RNA, 73 nt
Filed under: Cordylochernes scorpioides
Lineage: Eukaryota; Metazoa; Arthropoda; Arachnida; Pseudoscorpiones; Chernetidae
Description: tRNA-Thr
Rfam family: tRNA
About the family: Transfer RNA (tRNA) molecules are approximately 80 nucleotides in length. Their secondary structure includes four short double-helical elements and three loops (D, anti-codon, and T loops).
Source: RNAcentral
UCCAGGGUAGCCUAGUGGACAUGGCAUCUGCCCGGUAAGCGGAACAUUGUGGGUUCGAUUUCGAUCCCUGGAA